UACACCCCAAAGUGGGAUUGCUUGGUUUUCUGAGGAACCUAGGAAUUAUCUUUUAUUUUUCUUAUUUUGCAGAUUAGCAAACUGAGGCUCUGAGAGAGACUCUGCAAUUAGGGCUUGACUAUAACCUGGUUAAUAAGUAAUAAAAAAAAGGUAACGUUUACUAAGCUCGUACUACGUGCCAGAUGCUGUUCUGUUUUAAUGCAUUAUUGCCUUUAAUUCUCAGUAACAAUCCUGUGGAAUGUUGUUACCAUUUCCCUGUCCCCACCUCCUUUUUGCAGAUGAUAAAAGGAUGCAUAGAGAGAUUAGGACAACUGCGUAAGGCUAACAGGUGCCAGUGGUAGGUUUUAAACCCAGAGAGUUAGGCUCUGUAGAACUUACACCUCAAUAUUUACAUAAGCAACAUGAUUUAGUAUAAUAGCUUGGAAACUCAAGACUCCAUUUUGAGCCCUGAAUCUGCCUCUCAUCUUUUUGCUACUUAAAGUGUGGUCCACGGACCAACAGCCUUAGCCUCACUUGGGAGCUGUUAGAAAUACAGGAUCUGAGCUCCACCCCAGACUGACUGGAUCAGAAUCUUCAUCUUACUUAGAUCUCCAGAUGAUUCACCUGCUCACUGAAGGAGGUUGGACCAUAUCUCCUGGGCUAUGUUUUGCUCAAAGAGGCCUCUAUACUCCUCCUUCCCAGUCCAGGCUGCAGAGACCAUGGAGCCCAGGGUACAGGAGGGAGAGGAGCCCAAAUGUCAGAAUGCACCCAUGUCUGAGGUCAUCCUUCCUUUGAAAUACCUGCCACGAUGACUGCAGCUCCUGCAGGUUUCCCUCCCCAGGUCCCGUGGGAAGAUGUCCGUUAUCUCUUUGAUGAGAUCAUGUAUGGAGGCCACAUCACAGAUGACGGGGAUUGCAAACUGUGUCGGGUGUAUUUAGAAGAAUUCAUGAAUCCAUCUCUGCUAGCUGCCCUGUCAGGAACACAUGCAUGUGGUGAAAAACCGAGACUUCCAGCCAACAGCCAUGUGAGCGAGCCAUCUUGGAAGUGGAUCCUCCAGCCCCAGUCAAGCCUUCAGAUGACUGCAGCUUUGGCCAACAUCUUGACUGCAACUUCCUGAGAGACCCUGAGCAAGAAUCACACCAUGAAGAUGUUCCUAGUUUUCUGAUUCUCAGAAACUGGCUGCCAUGUGAAGAAGGACAUGUUUGCUUCCACUUCUGCCACGAUUCAGUGUGAGAAUGGACUAAUACAGGGUCUGUGUUGGACAGGAAGGACAUGAAGAGAGGAAGGGCUGGUGGAGAGAAUGCAGAGUAGUCAUAAGACACGAGCCUCCUCUGAUGGUCGACUUUGCCUUGAGAACUCAGAUGACCUUGCCAGAAUCUUCUUAGAUAGCUUGGAACUCUAGAACAUUUCUACUCACCCUUCUUCCUUCUCCCAUUCACUCAAGGCCAGACCUGCAAUGUGAUCUGACAACUCCCAGCCUUACAAGGUUCUCUUCCAAUUUUCUCUCACAGGGAUUUUCCCUAAUAAAAUCAUCACACAUUUAA
RNAcentral lists this long non-coding RNA (1523 nucleotides) under Homo sapiens (human). Its description in RNAcentral is "HSALNT0370267". Lineage: Eukaryota; Metazoa; Chordata; Mammalia; Primates; Hominidae. The record is from RNAcentral.